UACGUAGGGCGCAAGCGUUAUCCGGAAUUAUUGGGCGUAAAGAGCUCGUAGGCGGUGUGUCGCGUCGGCCGUGAAAACCUGCAGCUUAACUGUGGGCUUGCGGUCGAUACGGGCAUCACUGGAGUUCGGCAGAGGAGACUGGAAUUCCUGGUGUAGCAGUGAAAUGCGUAGAUAUCAGGAGGAAUACCGAUGGCGAAGGCAGGUCUCUGGGCUGAUACUGACGCUCAUGCACGAAAGCGUGGGGAGCGAACAGG
This 254-nucleotide ribosomal RNA is filed under the name uncultured bacterium. RNAcentral describes it as "partial 16S ribosomal RNA". It matches the Rfam family "Bacterial small subunit ribosomal RNA", at positions 524 to 776 of the family's 1533-position model. The record is from RNAcentral.